CUGUCAAUAGUUCGUAACAUUUUAAUUUUUCUGUUUCAGAAUUCCGCCAGAAAAUUCUUUGAAAUUUAGUUUGACUGUGGUGAAGCCAUACCUGUCUGUACAUUUUGGAAAUGUCUGCCGUUAUAACGUAGGUCAUUUAAAGAAAUAUUAUUGUCUGAUUUUGCUGAGAAGUCAAACACAACUCUGCAUGGGGUGGUAUCACUAUCCUUUAAAACUGGAUGAUGUGGAACAUAAUAUGCUGAACCAUCAUCUUCGAGAUCAUUGAUAUCAACCUCUAAUUCCCUAAGGUGUCCUAAUCG
Coccinella septempunctata (seven-spotted ladybird) is the source of this 299-nucleotide long non-coding RNA. RefSeq lists it as uncharacterized. The transcript has 2 exons. The record is from RefSeq and is a predicted model, not a curated record. NCBI's taxonomy places the organism in Eukaryota, Metazoa, Arthropoda, Insecta, Coleoptera, Coccinellidae.